RNAcentral lists this ribosomal RNA (914 nucleotides) under uncultured bacterium. Its description in RNAcentral is "bacterial SSU rRNA". It matches the Rfam family "Bacterial small subunit ribosomal RNA", at positions 8 to 916 of the family's 1533-position model. The record is from RNAcentral.
AGAGUUUGAUCAUGGCUCAGGAUGAACGCUAGCGACAGGCUUAACACAUGCAAGUCGAGGGGCAGCACGGGAGUAGCAAUACAACUGGUGGCGACCGGCGCACGGGUGAGUAACGCGUAUGCAACCUACCUAUCAGAGGGGAAUAACCCGGCGAAAGUCGGACUAAUACCGCAUAAAACAGGGGCACCGCAUGGUGAUAUUUGUUAAAGAAAUUCGCUGAUAGAUGGGCAUGCGUUCCAUUAGGUAGUUGGUGAGGUAACGGCUCACCAAGCCGACGAUGGAUAGGGGAACUGAGAGGUUGGUCCCCCACACUGGUACUGAGACACGGACCAGACUCCUACGGGAGGCAGCAGUGAGGAAUAUUGGUCAAUGGGCGGGAGCCUGAACCAGCCAAGUCGCGUGAAGGAAGAAGGAUCUAUGGUUCGUAAACUUCUUUUGCAGGGGAAUAAAGUGCAGGACGUGUCCUGUUUUGUAUGUACCCUGAGAAUAAGGAUCGGCUAACUCCGUGCCAGCAGCCGCGGUAAUACGGAGGAUCCGAGCGUUAUCCGGAUUUAUUGGGUUUAAAGGGUGCGUAGGUGGUUUGAUAAGUCAGCGGUGAAAGUUUGCAGCUUAACUGUAAAAAUGCCGUUGAAACUGUCGGACUUGAGUGUAAAUGAGGUAGGCGGAAUGCGUGGUGUAGCGGUGAAAUGCAUAGAUAUCACGCAGAACUCCGAUUGCGAAGGCAGCUUACUAAGCUACAACUGACACUGAAGCACGAAAGCGUGGGGAUCAAACAGGAUUAGAUACCCUGGUAGUCCACGCAGUAAACGAUGAUUACUAGCUGUUUGCGAUACACAGUAAGCGGCACAGCGAAAGCGUUAAGUAAUCCACCUGGGGAGUACGCCGGCAACGGUGAAACUCAAAUGAAUUGACGG